GGGAAUAGAAAGCGAAAGCUGCAGCAACACAUUAAACAGAUAAUGUUAGACAGGUAGCAACAAACAAUUUAGAUACAAGUGCUGGACCUAAAUACAUGUGUACAAAUGUAUGUAUAGCAGUGGUUCCACUUGCCACAGACACUAAAUGUUCAUUUCCUCAAUUUGUGUUCAUUCUCAAUGGGAGACGGAGGCCUGUACAGCGAGAGAGAUAACGAAGAUAGUGGAGAUAUGUAUCUCCAUAGAGCCAGACACAAAGAGCACACUGGCUACGCUUAUUGUUGUUGCUAGGGGGAUCUGAGUUCGAUGUGCUCUACAGAUUACAGUAAGUAAGGCCAAAGAAAUGUCCCCAUAAAUUUAUACCCGGUUUUUCCUUCCCCCAGUUUUCGAAUGGCUUUCCAAAAUAUUUGAUGACUCCUCCGGUAUCCGGCUAUUGUGUGUUUUACGAUAACGUAAAAUCCGCUUAAUAAAUCUGUCCCAAGCGCUGACAGCUCAAUUGUCAAUUAGAUCAAUGCAACAAGUGACUCCAUCAACAAAUACACACAGACAACAACAAAUAAAAGGUAAACUCUGCUAAAUGAAUUCGGGGUCCAAUAACAUUUUGUUUUUUUUUGUUUUGUUUUGAUUUGUCAUCAGAUACGAUGUGUUCGCGAGGAGGGAGACGUGACAUUGCCUGCAUACAAAUUUAAAUUUGGCAAAGAAAAGAGAGAUAACAAUUUGAUUUUGAUUUUUCUGCGUAGAUUUGAAUUGGGUCUGGCCUCAAAUAUUCGUUCGCCUGUUUCUAACGUUUUUGACCAUUUUAGACAAGGUCGC
This 810-nucleotide long non-coding RNA is filed under the name Drosophila guanche. The record is from RNAcentral. Lineage: Eukaryota; Metazoa; Arthropoda; Insecta; Diptera; Drosophilidae.